CAGUCGCCGCGGUAAUACGAGGGGGGCAAGCGUUGUUCAGAAUUAUUGGGCGUAAAGGGUGCGUAGGCGGUUUGAUAAGUCUUGUGUGAAAUCUAUGGGCUCAACCCAUAGUCUGCACAGGAAACUGUCGGGCUUGAGAGUGGGAGAGGUGAGUGGGAUUUCCGGUGUAGCGGUGAAAUGCGUAGAUAUCGGAAGGAACACCUGUGGCGAAAGCGGCUCACUGGACCAUUUCUGACGCUGAUGCAUGAAAGCUAGGGGAGCAAACAGGAUUAGAUACCCCGGUAGUCCCUGUCUCUUAUAC
Molecule: ribosomal RNA, 301 nt
Filed under: uncultured bacterium
Lineage: Bacteria
Description: partial 16S ribosomal RNA
Rfam family: Bacterial small subunit ribosomal RNA
Source: RNAcentral